AUGAACAUGCGUAUUGCAACAAACAAAUAAAGGGAUAAUAGUUGCGACAUUGGGAUGAAGACAUCGAAACAUCUUGAACAUAUUAUUACAACAACAAAGAAAAAAUAGUUGAAACAUCAUGUUGAAACACCAUGAACAUAAUAGUACAACAAACACCAAACAACUGCUGCAACAACAUGCAACAACUACUGCAGACAUGCAGAUUGAAUCAACUG
Molecule: long non-coding RNA, 215 nt
Filed under: Sorghum bicolor (sorghum)
Lineage: Eukaryota; Viridiplantae; Streptophyta; Magnoliopsida; Poales; Poaceae
Description: long non-coding RNA (SBIC_LNC018290)
Source: RNAcentral